UGUCAAAAGAUACACACCUUUUGCUUGGUUC
RNAcentral lists this non-coding RNA (31 nucleotides) under Rattus norvegicus (Norway rat). The record is from RNAcentral. Lineage: Eukaryota; Metazoa; Chordata; Mammalia; Rodentia; Muridae.